UACGGAGGGUGCAAGCGUUGUCCGGAUUUAUUGAGUUUAAAGGGUGCGUAGGCGGGUAAUUUAGUCAGUGGUGAAAGCCCACAGCUCAACUGUGGAACUGCCAUUGAUACUGGUUAUCUUGAGUAUAGAUGAGGCAGGCGGAAUUUACGAUGUAGCGGUGAAAUGCAUAGAUAUCGUAAAGAACACCUAUAGCGAAGGCAGCUUGCUAAACUAUAACUGACGCUGAGGCACGAAAGCGUGGGGAGCAAACAGG
This 253-nucleotide unclassified non-coding RNA is filed under the name uncultured Cytophagales bacterium. RNAcentral's name for it is "contains 16S-23S intergenic spacer region". It matches the Rfam family "Bacterial small subunit ribosomal RNA", at positions 524 to 776 of the family's 1533-position model. Lineage: Bacteria; Pseudomonadati; Bacteroidota; Sphingobacteriia; Sphingobacteriales. The record is from RNAcentral.